CCGCCGCCGCCGAGCCUACCAUUUCCAAUUCCGCUGAGGCGCGAGCACGCAAGCAGUGAACAGGCCGGUCCGACACGUAACGGGGCCCACAGUUACUGCUCCGCCGCACCGCGAUUCAAACUGCGCUGUCUCCCGCCUUCCCCGCUGCCUUUAUACUGCAGAAUGUUCCCUCAUCCGGGAACUCGGGCUGUUCGUCCCACCAAUGGCCGCUGCCCGCCCUCAGGACUCCUCAGCCUAUGAGCAGGGGAGAGACAAGGCGGAGGGGCGGGCACUCCCGAACUCGAGCUGCGAUUGGCGGUGGGUAGCGAGUGGGGGAAGGCGACGGCUGGGAACCGGGAGCUAAGGGCUGGCAGCGGGCGGGGAGGCGCGCGAGGGCGGCGCGGUCACGNNNNNNNNNNNNNNNNNNNNNCAGUCCCCGUCGUCCCCGCGCCCCGCGCAGUGACGCCGACAGGUGCCGUGUCGUCUGGAGCCCGACGUCCAGGGCUGCGCCCAAGCCUUCUGUCUGAGCCGAUUUAGGAGAACGCAGAGCUUCAGCCGUCAGGCUACGUGAUGGUCAGCGGUGCGGGUCGUGGGUCGGGCCCGGUGUGCUGCUCAUGGUGCACGUAUUUCGGCCAGCGUGGUGCUGGGUGCUGUGCACAGUCCUCCCGACCCCAACACCGUGCUGGGUGCUGCGCACGUUGCCCUGUCUUCUGGCCAACACCGUGGGUGCUGCGCCCGGUCCCCCGUCCAACACCGUGCUGGGUGCUGUGCACAGUCCUUGUGUCUUUCGGCCAACAUCGUUGGUGCUGCGUACAGUUCCGUCCUCUGGGCGACAUCGUACACAGUGGAACGGCCACCAGGCUUCAGGUUGAGUGUCAGUUGGAGAGGAUUUGUCAGGCCACGGGACUUCUGCCUUCCUGAAAUAUCUGGCCUUGGCCCAGGAUUUGGCUCCGUGGUUCCACUGCCUGCAAGCAGCAAGGUCCUGUGUACCAAAAAAAACCAAAACCAAAAACAAAAAAAACAAAACAAAACUUGACAAAUACUGGGCCUGAAACUUGCUGUAAGGAUGCUAAACCAAGUCAUUUGGUAUUGGAACUAAAAUCCAAGAUUGGUUCAUUUACACUGAGUAGUUUUCCUUCUUUUUCAGAGAUCAAGACAAUAUCAGUUUCUCCUCUUUUUACAACAGUUGUGUGAUGAUUUCAUCUACUUUCUUUCCUGCUCUGGAAAAGGCAGUAUUGCAUAUGUGCUAAUACUUGGCUUAUCUUUCCUGUACUUGUGUUUUUGAUAAUACAUGUAUGUGUGUUUACGAAAUAUACCUAGCCAAAACUAUGUAAUUGUUUCUAUUCAAUGCCAUAUCAAGUAAUUCCUUGAUCUUGAUUCUUUUCACCUAGGACAUCUAGGGGAAUAUGGCUUUCAAGGUCUUAUUCACCUGUCAGUUACUAAGCACCAAAGUGGCUGGUUGUCUUAAUUACUUUUCUCCUUGCUGAAACAAAAUACUGGACACCCAAAGUUAAAAGGAAAGGCUUAUUGUAGCUUGUGGUUUAUAGAGGUUUCAGUCUGUAGUCAACUGGCUCCAAGACAUAACAAAGGGGACAUUGCAGAAGAGAAAUAUCCCAUGGUAUGGCAAGUAGAAGGCAGCAUGCAGCAGCAAGCAGCCAGCCUUGCUUUCCCUUUGAUCCCAUCCAGACUCCAGCCUUUGGUGCCACUUAGAACUCUGUUAAUUCCAAUCAGUGGACUGAUUUAGUGUCAUACACCCUUAAUCCCAGGAUCACACGCCCUAGAUCCAGCCAGUUGUGAAGCGCUCUGUCUCUGAGCACGUGAGGCUUUGAGGAGACAUUUAGAUACAAGCCUUAACAGUGGUAUAAUACCAAAUACUGCCUAGAGUAAGAGUUGGGAUUGAGUCUGGGAAGCCCAUCACAAAGUCUGUGGACUGAAGUGAAGUGACUGAGCCAUAGAUGCUUCAUCUGUUAAACAGGGAUCUGUGGCACCAGAUAAACCAACGUUACCUAACUGUAAAAGCGAUUCAUGCAGUGAGAAGAAUACAGAGUGAUAUAUACAUGGUACAGUGGCCAUGCUGUCCUCACAUUCUUCAGAUAAAUAUGACUGUUAAGUGAAGCCUGUGCGUUUACUUGCAACCUAUGCAUUUAAACCAAGGCCAUGGGCUUGAAUUCCAUUUGCACCUCCCAUGCCCACAGGUUACAUCCACAAUUAAAAAACGGCGUAGGUUACAAAGAGAAUCAGUAGAAUCCACUGUCAUUUCAGGAAAAAUAAUUCAAAGAUCAUGGGGCCCAAUAUCUUUUUUAUUAUACUACUAACUUUUUUUAUACUUAAGAGUCCUCAGAAUUUUUGGAAAUUUACUGUUCUGAAAUUAAACAAUGAAGGAUUUUUUCUUGUCAUUUCCUUCCAUUGUCUAUUAUUGACCAACAUUAAUCUUAAUCUUUAGGAUGUUUAGAAUAAGGGAAGGAAGUUGUGUUGGUUGUCCAAAAUGCCCCCCUCCAAAAGGCUCAUUCUGUUAAAUGCCUGUGAUGGGCUUUCGAGAAGUGACUGGACCAUGCGGACGCCAAUGGCAUCCGUGGUUUAACCGUUGGUGGGGCCGUAAUUUGGUGAUGUACUGGGAGGCGACAGAGACAGGAGGGAGGGCCUCAUUGAAGGAAGAGCUGGGGACAUAAACUCUGACACAGUACCUGGUCCUAGGCCCCUUCCUCUGUCUCUUUCCCCCCUCUGUGCUUCCUGGCUGCCAUGAACUGAGUGGCUUUGCUCCAUAUCCCACACAGCCGUGAACCAGCCCCCCAUGGACAGAACCUCUGAAACUGUGAGCCAAAAGCUCUCUUUCCUCUUUUACAUUUUUUUUCUUAAUUGGUCACAUUGAUUAGUACUAAAGUCUAUGCAUUGAUACUGUUUUCCUAAAGAAGGUUUUACUUAGUAUAACUCCUUAUCUCGCCAGCUAACUUGUAAAUUCACACCUAAAGUACUGUCCCUUUAAAUUCACACCUAAAGUACUGUCCCCACCACAUUUCUUUUUUUUUUCUUUUUAUUGAGGUUAUUGGUACAAUCUAGGUAUACAAUACAAUUACAUUCAUCAUUGGGAUUCUGUACCUUUACAUAAUAGGUCUUGAUUCUCAUUUUUCCCCUUGUCCCUGCCCUCCCUUCACCCCCUCCUCCCCUCCCCAUUUACAAACACUUUAUUUCCAUUUUUUCACUUUCUCAUAUUGUUUUCCUUUCCCUUAUUAACUUUCCCCCACCCUUCCCACUUUCCUUAUACCUUUAGCCCUUUACUUCCUAUUUCACAUUAUUGUCUCAUUAGGAUCCUGUGUACUAUUAUAGUUUUUCACACCAAAGAAAUUAUUCGGUAUUUCAGUUAAAGAAAUCUCUCUAUGAACAUUAAAAAUAGGGAAUCCUAAAAUAAAACUAAAAAGGAAAGUAAAAGAGAAAAGGCAAUGAUGUAACAUCAAAAUAAUCCUUAAUUCUGGAGAUGAGAAUGGUCCCUGAACAUAUUUCAGUUGCUUCUUGCUCUUACAGUCUUAUUCUUUUUUCACUAUUUAGAGAAUACUUUAUUAGUUUCUGUAAUCAAACCCAUGUAGAUAUGACCUUACAUAUUUAGUAUGAUGUGUUACCCCUGUACACAUGGAAAAAAUAAAAAUAAAAAUAAAAAUAAAUGAACAUUUCUAGACCAAUAUGGUUGUCCAUUUCUGUACAAUGCCAAGUCAACACAGUAAAUUGGGAUGACUUUUUCCAAAGUUGGCAGCGCCGUUAAAGUUUCCCAAAAUUCAAUUUAUAUAUAUAUAUGUGUAUAUAUAUAUAUAUUUAUAUAUAUAUAAAGACUAAUAAUAGUAUGUUAUGCAUCGAUAGCGGCAACAGCUUUUCCAGGUUCUGCAGUCAUCUGAACAAAAUUAUGGACAUUCAACACAUUCCAUUAAAAACAAAAAAAAACAAAAAAAAACAAAGAAAAGAAUAAUAUCCAGACAACAGCAAAGUUCUGUUGCUGUUGUGGUACCUGGCACCAUUUUUUCUAUUAGCCUCUUAAUCAUCAUCUGGAAAGAGAACAUUCUAGAGUAAUAUCAUUAAAUGUAGCUCUGAUAAAGCACGGUCCCUACUAUGUAUCAUAAAGCAGGUACUAGAUAUUUUACAUUCAUAGAGGUAUGAUACAGUACUGUCCUACAUCAAUAAUACUAGAUUCAGUUUUGGUUUGAAAUUUACUUUGUCUGCAAAUAAGAUUGCUACCCCUGUUUUUUUCUGGGCUCCUGUCACAUGGAGAAUUGUUUUCUAUCUUUUCA
This 4253-nucleotide long non-coding RNA is filed under the name Fukomys damarensis (Damara mole-rat). RNAcentral describes it as "lncRNA (ENSFDAG00000025663.1)". Lineage: Eukaryota; Metazoa; Chordata; Mammalia; Rodentia; Bathyergidae. The record is from RNAcentral.